This 481-nucleotide ribosomal RNA is filed under the name uncultured bacterium. RNAcentral's name for it is "partial 16S ribosomal RNA". It matches the Rfam family "Bacterial small subunit ribosomal RNA", at positions 899 to 1397 of the family's 1533-position model. The record is from RNAcentral.
ACUCAAAUGAAUUGACGGGGAGGCGCACAAGCAGUGGAGCAUGUGGUUUAAUUCGAUACGAAGCGAAAAACCUCACCAGGGUUUGACAUGUAGAUGCUAAUCCCAAGAAACUGGGACUCCUUCGAGGGUUCUACACAGAUGGUGCAUGGCUGUCAUCAGUUCGUGGCGUGAGCUGUAGUCUUAAGUGACCUAACGAACGCAACCCGCAUCGUAUGUUAAAUAAUUCAUACGAAACCGCCCCGUAAGGGGAGGAAGGCGCGGAUGAUGUCAAGUCCGCACGCCUCUUACACCCUGGGCUACACACAUCCUACAAUGGCGAAUAACAACGAGCAGCAAGCCGGUAACGGCAAGCAAAUCUCUCAAAUUUCGCCUCAGUUCAGAUUGGGGUCUGCAAUUUGACCCCAUGAAGUCGGAAUUGCUAGUAAUCGCGGAUCAGCAGGUCGCGGUGAAUACGUUCUCGCCUCUUGUACACACCGCCCGU